GACGAACGCUGGCGGCGUGCUCACACAUGCAAGUCGCACGGAAAGGCCCUGCUUUUGUGGGGUGCUCGAGUGGCGAACGGGUGAGUAACACGUGAGUAACCUGCCCUUGACUUUGGGAUAACUUCAGGAAACUGGGGCUAAUACCGGAUAGGAGCUCCUGCUGCUUGGUGGGGGUUGGAAAGUUUCGGCGGUUGGGGAUGGACUCGCGGCUUAUCAGCUUGUUGGUGGGGUAGUGGCUUACCAAGGCUUUGACGGGUAGCCGGCCUGAGAGGGUGACCGGCCACAUUGGGACUGAGAUACGGCCCAGACUCCUACGGGAGGCAGCAGUGGGGAAUAUUGCACAAUGGGCGGAAGCCUGAUGCAGCAACGCCGCGUGCGGGAUGACGGCCUUCGGGUUGUAAACCGCUUUCGCCUGUGACGAAGCGUGAGUGACGGUAAUGGGUAAAGAAGCACCGGCUAACUACGUG
This 467-nucleotide ribosomal RNA is filed under the name uncultured bacterium. RNAcentral describes it as "partial 16S ribosomal RNA". It matches the Rfam family "Bacterial small subunit ribosomal RNA", at positions 28 to 507 of the family's 1533-position model. The record is from RNAcentral.